RNAcentral lists this long non-coding RNA (912 nucleotides) under Homo sapiens (human). RNAcentral describes it as "HSALNT0330933". The record is from RNAcentral. Lineage: Eukaryota; Metazoa; Chordata; Mammalia; Primates; Hominidae.
CCAGCUGCAACCAAACGGUAUGCACAUAAUCCAGGCUAGGGUAGCCACAUGUUCCCUCCAGGACUUGGACCCUUGACUUGCAGUGCCUCGGAGAGGUGGCGCUGGCUAGCCUGGGACUUCCAACAUACAGCCUACAUUGAUGGCCUGAGACUUGUGGCAAAAAAGACUUUCAAAAUCUAAUUUGCUCACAUACAUGAACACCUGCCAGGAAGGAAUUUGAGGCCUUUGUUCUAAACAUGGAAAAGCUGAGUUCAUUUGCCCCAGAGGGGGCACCUGCAGGGAAAAGGAAAAAUGGUUUUAACCCUUUCCUUGAGUCAGAAAAUGAGGCCACCAGAUUCUCCUUUCAUCCUUCAAGUAUCAGAAAGGUCUGUGCUGUGAAUUCCACAGAUGAGAUUCAUUGCAAGAUGUGAGGGCAGAGGAAAUCCAUGGAAAUGAAAUCCACAUUCAAACUGGAUGCAUGCGUUCAGCAACUGGAAGCUGAGUUCAUAUUUCAUUGCCCAACUACCCUGACCACUUGGGAAUCGCAGGUUUGGAAGGACCCACAGCCAUUCUGUGGAAAUGGAUCUGCUUUCAGGACCGAAUCUCAGACUUCUUGGGGAAGGUUUCAGUGGCUGCCUUUGCUGUGCAGACCUGGAGAUGGGUCUGAUGAUCGGACACCUGAAUUAUCUGUGUGGCUGAGUUUCAAGAAGACCUGCUGGGGUGAAAUGAAAAUGGUGCCUACUAGAAGCCCCAGUGGCUUUGCUGGUGGAGGCUAGCUUGCUCAUGUCCUCAUACAGAAGCAGAGAUGCAAGCAAGUGAGAAGGUGGAAGGACUCAGGUCUUGGGCCUUACUCUGAGAACUAUAACACCAUUCCUUCUGCUGCAUUCUCUUGUCUAAAUGACAUGGAUGAAGCUGGAAGCCAUCAUUCUCAGC